GGGAGCCACCACAGAAUGAAGCCAAUGUUAUGUUUAGAAAACAACAGCACGUAUUCUGUAUGCUUUUUAGGAAGGGCUUUCAGAAAGAGGGGACACUGAUUUCUUUGUGAAAUCUCCUCUGUGAAAACACUAUCUUUUUACUGAAUUGCAAUGAUUUUGCUUGAUGUAUCUGCCAGGUAAGUAUUCUAAAGGCUAAAGCUUUGAAUUGUUGACAAAUUAGCUUUCAUUAUGUGCUUUAGUCACUUGACAAAAUUAUCCUAAUAGAUGUAUCUGCAUCAGAUACAAAUUUUGUUCUCAGUUCAUCACAGACAGGAGAUGUUACAUCUGUCUGAAAAUGAAAGGAAGAUAUAAUAAACAUUAAUUUCCCAUUUUUAGAAAGCAUUUGAAGAUGUUUAUUUACGUUUAUAUACCAAUUUGGGUGGCUUACCUUCAUUUAAAUGGAAUAAGAACUGAGGGGGACAGAAGAGAAGGACUGUUGCAGCCGACAAAGCAUGGUGACCCAGCUUGUCACCCAGUGACCUGUGAGAAGGAAAUAAUGAACUUGCCUCCUAACUAGUUCAGAACUCGUCCAGAUGAAGUUAAAGAAAGGGACUGAGCAUGUGAUACCAAUCAUUGCUCAUGACUGAUGUGUGAAAACUUUUUCUCUGGAUGCUAAUUGUGAGACCAUUCUGUGGUAAGGACAACUAAAUAAGCUAUGGUAGGCUCAAUAUAUUGAGUUUUGUAUGGGGAAAGCAAAGUACUGUGUAUAGACGUUUUUCUCUUUUUCUGAGAGUUUCAAAAAUAUGUUUGCUGUCAGAAAGGCUGAGGUUUUUAAUCUAGUAUGAGUGUGUAUAUUCUGGAAAACUAGAUUUGAGAAAAUAGGUAAGGAUGUUUCUUAUGGCUCAGUAAGGAUGCUGUCAAAGUUACCACUGGUAAAUAAACUUCACACAUAUUCAGCCUGGAAAUAAAAC
This 950-nucleotide long non-coding RNA is filed under the name Phasianus colchicus (ring-necked pheasant). RNAcentral's name for it is "lncRNA (ENSPCLG00000017971.1)". The record is from RNAcentral. Lineage: Eukaryota; Metazoa; Chordata; Aves; Galliformes; Phasianidae.